GACGAACGCUGGCGGUGUGCUUAACACAUGCAAGUGGUGCGACGAACCAGAGCUUGCUCUGGGGCAAAGCCGCGAACGGGUGAGUAACACGUGGGUAAUCUACCCCGAUGACCGGGACAACCCGAGGAAACUCGGGCUAAUACCGGAUGUGGUACGGAGACAUAAGUCUCUUUACUAAAGGUAGCUUCGGCUUCCGCAUUGGGAGGGGCCCGCGGCCCAUUAGCUAGUUGGUGGGGUCAAGGCCUACCAAGGCAACGAUGGGUAGCUGGUCUGAGAGGACGAUCAGCCACACUGGGACUGAGACACGGCCCAGACUCCUACGGGAGGCAGCAGUGGGGAAUCUUGCGCAAUGCGCGAAAGCGUGACGCAGCAACACCGCGUGAGGGAAGACGGCCUUAGGGUUGUAAACCUCUUUCAGAUGGGACGAAGGUGAUGCGGUGAAUAGCCGAUGUCAUUGACGGUACCGUCAGAAGAAGGCUACCGGGCUAACUACGUGCCAGCAG
Molecule: ribosomal RNA, 503 nt
Filed under: uncultured bacterium
Lineage: Bacteria
Description: bacterial SSU rRNA
Rfam family: Bacterial small subunit ribosomal RNA
Source: RNAcentral